Molecule: ribosomal RNA, 434 nt
Filed under: uncultured Blautia sp.
Lineage: Bacteria; Bacillati; Bacillota; Clostridia; Lachnospirales; Lachnospiraceae
Description: partial 16S ribosomal RNA
Rfam family: Bacterial small subunit ribosomal RNA
Source: RNAcentral
ACGGAAGGCAGCAGUGGGGAAUAUUGCACAAUGGGGGAAACCCCGAUGCAGCGACGCCGCGUGAAGGAAGAAGUAUCUCGGUAUGUAAACUUCUAUCAGCAGGGAAGAAAAUGACGGUACCUGACUAAGAAGCCCCGGCUAACUACGUGCCAGCAGCCGCGGUAAUACGUAGGGGGCAAGCGUUAUCCGGAUUUACUGGGUGUAAAGGGAGCGUAGACGGAAUUGCAAGUCUGAUGUGAAAGGCAUGGGCUCAACCUGUGGACUGCAUUGGAAACUGUGAUUCUUGAGUGCCGGAGGGGUAAGCGGAAUUCCUGGUGUAGCGGUGAAAUGCGUAGAUAUCAGGAGGAACACCGGUGGCGAAGGCGGCUUACUGGACGGCAACUGACGUUGAGGCUCGAAGGCGUGGGGAGCAAACAGGAUUAGAUACCCUGGUA